AUCGAUGAAGAACGCAGCGAAAUGCGAUAAGUAAUGUGAAUUGCAGAAUUCAGUGAAUCAUCGAAUCUUUGAACGCACAUUGCGCCCCCUGGUAUUCCGGGGGGCACACCUGUUCGAGCGCCAUUUCAACCCUCAAGCCCAGCUUGGUGAUGGACCCCGCCCGCGGGCGGGUCCGAAACUCGCAGGCGCCUCCUCCCGGCUUCAAGCGUAGCAAAACCCUCGCUUGGGCGCCCGGGCGGCGGCAGCCCCGAACGAAUACUCACAAUGGUUGGCCUCGGAUCAGGUGGGGAUACCCGCUGAACUUAAGCAUAUCAAUAAGCGGAGGAAAAGAAACCAACAGGGAUUGCCUCAGUAACGGCGAGUGAAGCGGCAACAGCUCAAAUUUGAAAUCUGGCCCCUUCGGGGUCCGAGUUGUAAUUUGCAGAGGGUGCUUCGGUGGAAGCCCCGGCCCAAGUCCCUUGGAACAGGACGUCAGAGAGGGUGAGAACCCCGUGUCCGGCCGGUGGCGCUCCCCGCGUGAAGCCCCUUCGACGAGUCGAGUUGUUUGGGAAUGCAGCUCUAAAUUGGUGGUAAAUUCCAUCUAAAGCUAAAUACCGGCCAGAGACCGAUAGCGCACAAGUAGAGUGAUCGAAAGAUGAAAAGCACUUUGAAAAGAGAGUCAAAAAGUACGUGAAAUUGUUGAAAGGGAAGCGCUUGCGGCCAGACUCGCCCGCGGUUGCUCAGCCCGCCUUCUGGCGGGUGCACUCUUCCGCGGUCGGGCCAGCAUCGGUUCGGGCGGCCGGACAAAGGCCCGGGGAACGUGGCCCCCUUCGGGGGGUGUUAUAGCCCCGGGUGCAAUGCGGCCAGCCGGGACCGAGGAUCGCGCUCUGCUAGGAUGCUGGCGUAAUGGCCGUAAGCGGCCCGUCUUGAAACACGG
RNAcentral lists this ribosomal RNA (916 nucleotides) under uncultured fungus. Its description in RNAcentral is "eukaryotic LSU rRNA". The stretch from base 270 to 916 matches the Rfam family "Eukaryotic large subunit ribosomal RNA", at positions 1 to 664 of the family's 3401-position model. Lineage: Eukaryota; Fungi. The record is from RNAcentral.